ACGAAUAAACUUGAACAGGCUGUUGCUAGCUCCCCCUGGGGGGCAUGUGCACGCUUGUCAUCUUUGUUUCUCCAACUGUGCACACAUUGUAGACCUUUCGGUUCGAGUUUGGGACUGCCAUCGCGGCCAGGGUCUAUGUCAUUUUUCACAAACCUCUGAAUCUGUUUAGAAUGUUACAAUAAAGUUAAAUAUA
RNAcentral lists this unclassified non-coding RNA (193 nucleotides) under uncultured Inocybe. RNAcentral describes it as "sequence contains ITS1". Lineage: Eukaryota; Fungi; Basidiomycota; Agaricomycetes; Agaricales; Cortinariaceae. The record is from RNAcentral.